RNAcentral lists this long non-coding RNA (1343 nucleotides) under Equus asinus (donkey). RNAcentral's name for it is "lncRNA (ENSEASG00005026645.1)". Lineage: Eukaryota; Metazoa; Chordata; Mammalia; Perissodactyla; Equidae. The record is from RNAcentral.
CCAAGGACAGUGUGAAGUAUUAAUUGAAAACCAGUACCUCUAUCAUUAAUUGUCAGGACUUGAUACUAUUCAGAGGAACCUAAGAAACAAUAGCCUUACACUGAAUCUAUUUGUUCAUUCAACGAAUUUUUAUCAAGUAUGUACUUCCUUUGUACCUGUUACUAAUCUACCAGCUGAGCACACAGUGGUGAAAGAAAGAGAAAUGUCACUGCCCUUGUGGAAUGAGCACUGAGUUAGGUGAAUUACAUGUCAGUGGUACCUUCAUACUCUAUCUAACGUACUCAGAGUAUGUAAACUCUGCAUGAGGUGAAAUGGACAUGGAGUAAUUGGAUCAAGGAAUUUGUAUUUAGAAUCAGGUAAAGUUAAAAAAAUCCUAAAAUAAAGUUUUCCCUAAAGAGACUAUUAUUUAUUUGAAAGGGAGAGGUGGGGAGGACUCCUAUUAACAAUGUGUAAGUUAUCCAGGAUACAAAUGCUUUAAAAAAAAGUCCAUGUCUUAUCUUCCCACAUUGAUUACACGUUCCCCGAUAGUUUUGCACUAAUUCUGUAGCCACUAGCCACAUGUGGCUAGGCUAGUCAAAUGUAAAUUAAUUAAAAUUAAAUUAAAAAUUUAGUUCCUCAGUAUCAAUGGCCACAUUUCAAGAGCUCAGUAGUUGUUUGUGGCUAGUGACUAUGUUAUUGGACAGUACCGAUGUAGAACAUUUCUGUCAUCACAGAACAGACUGUUGAACGGUGCUGGUUUAUAGAAGCAUAUAUUCCUCAUGACAUAAAAAAAUUAAAACAACUAUAUAUUGAUAUGGAAGAUGAAUGUGAAUGGACUAAAAGAAAAAGUCUUUUGUCAUUGUAGAGAAUGAGCAAUCGGAAGGCAGUUUCUAAAGAAUGGAAUUGGUCAAAAAGUUUUGUAUGUCUGUGUUAUUAGACUCAAUGUCUGUCUGAAUAUAAAUGGAGGCGAGCAGAAAAGGAAUAGGAUUGUCAGGAUAAGUAAAAUAAAAAUCUUGAAACCCUUGGAUAAGAUGGUGGAAAGUAUAGAGAGAGGAGGUAAGGUCCCCUGGGGAUGUCUUAGAGAAGAAACCUAUUUAUUUGUUCACAGAUGUGUCAUCUUCGACAGCCGCUAUCAUUUCAGAGAUGCCAUCUCCUCUGUGACCUGCUUAAUCGGACAUGUGAUUUUCCUUCUUUUUCAUUCCUUCUUACUCUUAUGAGUGGGGCUCUUGUCCUCUCUCCAGAGUCGUUCCCUUGGUCCAAUCAAGAUAUCCUGCCAAAAUUUGAGUCCUGCGUAGAGAACAAGAAAUGGAAAUUUGCUGUGCAGUAGCUGUCUUACAUUUCCCUCACAAAUCCUGCAUUAUCAG